Molecule: long non-coding RNA, 953 nt
Organism: Carcharodon carcharias (great white shark)
Lineage: Eukaryota; Metazoa; Chordata; Chondrichthyes; Lamniformes; Lamnidae
Exons: 2
Source: RefSeq, a predicted model, not a curated record
UUCCGGCCUCUGAUGUACUUCACUUUUGAGAAAGACAUGUCAUCUGGUUUGGAAGCUGCACUGAAAAUUCUGCUGACUUACAAGAAAGCCUGUUUCAUGUCGGUACUUUAAAGACAUAGCACUCAAAGGGUUUGAACGCUCCUUCUCUGAAAUACAUCUUGUUGUGGUCAGCCGAGAGGUGGCUAAAAGGGCAAAAAUUACCGCACAUCUCUCUCCGUUCAGAAGUUUGUUGAUGUUGGGUUUGGUAAGUGUCGUAUUAAACAGUCUGCCUGUCUACCCUCUCAAGCAGAUGUGAAAGCUACCAAUGCACCACCUCAAAGAAGACCUGCAGAGUCCCUGCGCAGGGUCCCGGGCCGAAAUCCACACUUAACCAACAUCACCAAAACGAAUUACCGGUCACCACCCACAUUACUGUCCAUGGGAGCCUGCUAUGUUGAGGAUAAUGAAUGGGAAACAAAGUAUUUGUGGAUGUUGAAGAGUAGCUGUUGUUACUUCAGAGAUUCAUACAAGGGCUGCUUCAGGCAAUUAAAACCAGUCCAGUGGUGGGUAAUUCCUGGCUGGAGUGGGCUUUUCAAUUUUGAUUGACCUGUCCUGCAAACUGCAGCAUUUCAUUUCUGACUUAAUGUUUCAUUGACCAUUGAGGUGGGGCUCUGAGACUUCUCUUUCCAAAAAAAAAAGUCUUCAAUCCUGACUACUUUGUGGGCAAAAUGAAAUGCCAAGAACACAAACAACUGGUACAGUUGCCAACUCUGGCUGGAUGCAUUUCAGAAGCUUUCCACCUCAUGAUCUCAUCCUGCUCCCAAGUGCCUCCCAUUGACCACCCAUCAUGGCACAAUGUCUUCUCACAACAAAUGGAAAACAAACAGCCUCUUCAUUUCCUGACUGGACAAUUAUUGACUAUCAGUCAAAUAGCUUUCCUCAUUCUCAUCAAUAAAACCUUGAUAACUAAUUAA